GUCCCUGUAAGGCAAUGGGUAGCACAUUGGAUUUCUAAUCCAAAAGUCGUGAGUGUUUGAAUCCCACCUGGGAUG
Non-coding RNA from Trichonephila inaurata madagascariensis, 75 nucleotides. The record is from the annotation of a GenBank genome assembly. Lineage: Eukaryota; Metazoa; Arthropoda; Arachnida; Araneae; Nephilidae.